This 164-nucleotide ribosomal RNA is filed under the name Persicaria punctata. RNAcentral's name for it is "5.8S ribosomal RNA". It matches the Rfam family "5.8S ribosomal RNA". Rfam says of the family: 5.8S ribosomal RNA (5.8S rRNA) is a component of the large subunit of the eukaryotic ribosome. It is transcribed by RNA polymerase I as part of the 45S precursor that also contains 18S and 28S rRNA. The record is from RNAcentral. Lineage: Eukaryota; Viridiplantae; Streptophyta; Magnoliopsida; Caryophyllales; Polygonaceae.
NAACGACUCUCGGCAACGGAUAUCUCGGCUCUCGCAUCGAUGAAGAACGUAGCGAAAUGCGAUACUUGGUGUGAAUUGCANAAUCCCGUGAACCAUCGAGUCUUUGAACGCAAGUUGCGCCCGAAGCCUUCGGGCCAAGGGCACGUCUGCCUGGGCGUCACGCA